AUAUUAUUAAGCGGAGGAAAAGAAACUAACAAGGAUUCCCCUAGUAACGGCGAGUGAAGCGGGAAAAGCUCAACUUGAAAAUCGGUGUACCAAACGGUGCUCCGAGUUGUAGUCUAGAGACGCAUGAUCAGUGUGCGCCGCGGUUAUAAAUCUUUUGAAACAAGGUAUCAUAGAGGGUGAGAAUCCCGUUUAUGAACCGCAGUGCGCCACGUACGAUCUGUGUUCGAAGAGUUGAGUUCUUUGGGAUUGGAGCUCAAAAUGGGUGGUAAAUUUCAUCUAAAGCUAAAUAUCGACGAGAGACCGAUAGCGCACAAGUA
RNAcentral lists this ribosomal RNA (317 nucleotides) under uncultured eukaryote. RNAcentral describes it as "partial large subunit ribosomal RNA". It matches the Rfam family "Eukaryotic large subunit ribosomal RNA", at positions 40 to 350 of the family's 3401-position model. The record is from RNAcentral.